This 1098-nucleotide ribosomal RNA is filed under the name Campylobacter jejuni. RNAcentral's name for it is "bacterial SSU rRNA". It matches the Rfam family "Bacterial small subunit ribosomal RNA", at positions 418 to 1533 of the family's 1533-position model. Lineage: Bacteria; Pseudomonadati; Campylobacterota; Epsilonproteobacteria; Campylobacterales; Campylobacteraceae. The record is from RNAcentral.
UCGGAGCGUAAACUCCUUUUCUUAGGGAAGAAUUCUGACGGUACCUAAGGAAUAAGCACCGGCUAACUCCGUGCCAGCAGCCGCGGUAAUACGGAGGGUGCAAGCGUUACUCGGAAUCACUGGGCGUAAAGGGCGCGUAGGCGGAUUAUCAAGUCUCUUGUGAAAUCUAAUGGCUUAACCAUUAAACUGCUUGGGAAACUGAUAGUCUAGAGUGAGGGAGAGGCAGAUGGAAUUGGUGGUGUAGGGGUAAAAUCCGUAGAUAUCACCAAGAAUACCCAUUGCGAAGGCGAUCUGCUGGAACUCAACUGACGCUAAGGCGCGAAAGCGUGGGGAGCAAACAGGAUUAGAUACCCUGGUAGUCCACGCCCUAAACGAUGUACACUAGUUGUUGGGGUGCUAGUCAUCUCAGUAAUGCAGCUAACGCAUUAAGUGUACCGCCUGGGGAGUACGGUCGCAAGAUUAAAACUCAAAGGAAUAGACGGGGACCCGCACAAGCGGUGGAGCAUGUGGUUUAAUUCGAAGAUACGCGAAGAACCUUACCUGGGCUUGAUAUCCUAAGAACCUUAUAGAGAUAUGAGGGUGCUAGCUUGCUAGAACUUAGAGACAGGUGCUGCACGGCUGUCGUCAGCUCGUGUCGUGAGAUGUUGGGUUAAGUCCCGCAACGAGCGCAACCCACGUAUUUAGUUGCUAACGGUUCGGCCGAGCACUCUAAAUAGACUGCCUUCGUAAGGAGGAGGAAGGUGUGGACGACGUCAAGUCAUCAUGGCCCUUAUGCCCAGGGCGACACACGUGCUACAAUGGCAUAUACAAUGAGACGCAAUACCGCGAGGUGGAGCAAAUCUAUAAAAUAUGUCCCAGUUCGGAUUGUUCUCUGCAACUCGAGAGCAUGAAGCCGGAAUCGCUAGUAAUCGUAGAUCAGCCAUGCUACGGUGAAUACGUUCCCGGGUCUUGUACUCACCGCCCGUCACACCAUGGGAGUUGAUUUCACUCGAAGCCGGAAUACUAAACUAGUUACCGUCCACAGUGGAAUCAGCGACUGGGGUGAAGUCGUAACAAGGUAACCGUAGGAGAACCUGCGGUUGGAUCACCUCCUUUCUA